This 405-nucleotide ribosomal RNA is filed under the name uncultured bacterium. RNAcentral's name for it is "bacterial SSU rRNA". It matches the Rfam family "Bacterial small subunit ribosomal RNA", at positions 355 to 775 of the family's 1533-position model. The record is from RNAcentral.
UAAGGGAUAUUGCGACAAUGGACGAAAGUCUGACGCAGCAACGCCGCGUGCGGGAUGACGGCCUUCGGGUUGUAAACCGCUUUUCGGGGGGAAGAGGAAGGACGGUACCCCCGGAAUAAGUCUCGGCUAACUACGUGCCAGCAGCCGCGGUAAAACGUAGGAGGCGAGCGUUAUCCGGAUUUACUGGGUGUAAAGCGCGUGCAGGCGGUUUAGCAAGUCGUGCGUGAAAGCGCCCGGCUCAACCGGGCGAGGUCGUGCGAAACUGCUUAACUUGAGGUAGGUAGAGGCGUGUGGAAUUCCGGGUGUAGUGGUGAAAUGCGUAGAGAUCCGGAGGAACACUAGUGGCGAAGGCGACACGCUGGGCCUGACCUGACGCUCAGACGCGAAAGCAUGGGUAGCGAACGG